Cherax quadricarinatus is the source of this 1295-nucleotide non-coding RNA. The record is from RefSeq and is a predicted model, not a curated record. Lineage: Eukaryota; Metazoa; Arthropoda; Malacostraca; Decapoda; Parastacidae.
GUGCUGGCAGCCUCAGUACCAGACAGACCAGCGCACUCGUUGUACACCUCCAGUUCGUGCACACCUGCCGUGACAGUGCUGAAGAAAUUACGCUACAAAUUGAGCGCUUAAGUUAUUACAAGAAGAAUACAUUCCCAAAAUCAUUAUUGUUUUGUGAUCUAUAGAACAAACUGGCAGUGUCAUCAUUGAUUCAACAGUGUUAAAACCCGUUACGCAUUAUAGGUAAAUUACCUUUACCUGAGUGAUAGUCCUCGUCUUGAGGCUCGAAGUUUGAGACCCUCCACCUACUAGCACCACUAGCACUACUACCUACUAGCCUGUUACUAUCACCACCAACCAAGAUGGUUCAGGAACAUGUGUACACUGCAAGCAGCAGCAGCAUCGCUGACCCUGAGGCCAGAAAGAGCACCUACAAGGUCAUGGAGAUGGGCGCCUACAGUCACAGCAGCGCCACCAAGAGAACGAGUGCGGACGUCACAAAGACUAAGAACAACACGGUCCAGAAGGACGUGUGGGGACCCGUGUUCCAGAAUAAACAACACUUUGUUGACAUGCACAUCUGCUAGGAUACGCCCACUGCCUGUGCAUGACUUGCUAUGCACAAAUCUAAGGACUACAUAUCUCCUGCCCCUGGCUAGUCUGGGACAUGCAGAUCUCAUAACACAUGCCCACUGCCUGUGCAUGAGGACAGGCACUUCCAGGAAUACAAACCUUUCUCGGACUAGUCUUGGACAUGCGCAUCCAGGACACACCCACCGCCUGCACAUGUCUUGAUCUGAAUCUUUCCAGCAGGUCUGGAGUUUACAGUUUUUUCCCAUGUGAUGCACUGCAGUCAACUAACACCCAGGUGCCUGUUUGUUGCUAGGUGAACAGAGGCAUCAUACGUCUCUCACGCCUGGACAUCAGACAAGGAAACUUUCAUGCGUGAUCCACAGGCUCCGACCGCUGAGCUUCAAGUCACUGUGGCUAGUCAUAGACAUGUCUACUUCAGCCAUGCAUCACCUGCCUCUGGCCAGUUAUAUAAACAUGUAUUCUUUGCUUGAUCAUUGUUAUUGCCAAUACUAAGUAUUGUAUUUAUUAUGAUCUCCAAGGCCAGCUGUUAUUUUGUUUUGUAAUAAACAUCUUUUCAUAACAUUUCAAGUUCAUUUCUGUAAAUAUUUUUUAUAUUCAACCGAGUCAUUACCACACUUCAUAACAUCACAUGAUUUUUUAUAUAACACAUUAAGAAAAUGUCACAUAGCUUAUAUGCCUUACUGUUUUCAGUAAAUUUUGUAAUAAAUUUUUUAUUACUAUUA